RNAcentral lists this ribosomal RNA (253 nucleotides) under uncultured bacterium. RNAcentral's name for it is "partial 16S ribosomal RNA". It matches the Rfam family "Bacterial small subunit ribosomal RNA", at positions 524 to 776 of the family's 1533-position model. The record is from RNAcentral.
CACGUAGGGGACGAGCGUUGUCCGGAUUCAUUGGGCGUAAAGCGCGCGUAGGCGGCUCGGAAAGUCGGUCGUGAAAUGCCGGGGCUCAACCCCGGGACUGCGUCCGAUACUCUCGAGCUGGAGGCAGGUAGGGGAGAUCGGAAUUCCUGGUGUAGCGGUGAAAUGCGCAGAUAUCGGGAAGAACACCCGUGGCGAAGGCGGCUCUCUGGAACGGUACUGACGCUGAGACGCGAAAGCGUGGGGAGCGAACAGG